AGAGCUGUGGUGUAGUGGCUAUCACGUCUGCUUCACACGCAGAAGGUCUUGGGUUCGAUCCCCAACAGCUCUA
Molecule: transfer RNA, 73 nt
Filed under: Zancudomyces culisetae
Lineage: Eukaryota; Fungi; Kickxellomycota; Harpellomycetes; Harpellales; Legeriomycetaceae
Rfam family: tRNA
About the family: Transfer RNA (tRNA) molecules are approximately 80 nucleotides in length. Their secondary structure includes four short double-helical elements and three loops (D, anti-codon, and T loops). Further hydrogen bonds mediate the characteristic L-shaped molecular structure. tRNAs have two regions of fundamental functional importance: the anti-codon, which is responsible for specific mRNA codon recognition, and the 3' end, to which the tRNAs corresponding amino acid is attached (by aminoacyl-tRNA synthetases). tRNAs cope with the degeneracy of the genetic code in two manners: having more than one tRNA (with a specific anti-codon) for a particular amino acid; and 'wobble' base-pairing, i.e. permitting non-standard base-pairing at the 3rd anti-codon position.
Source: Rfam by way of RNAcentral